CACCCACCCCGCCUCCCCUGUCACUAACAGGUGGGCCCUCGCUGACAGAACCCUCUCCAGCGCCUCUCUCUCUUUUCCUCGAGUCACCACCAGAAAGAGCAGCGGCGGCGUCCGGCGGCGCCGCGGCGAGCGCGAAGGAGGACAGGGACGAGCGGCAGGCCGGCGACCAGCAGCACCCCUCUCUUCUCCGUUGGUGAUUCCUCCCCAGGUUGGAAGGAUGAGGAAGGGACUUCAUCCCCAGAUGCAGUGGAUCUCGUACGUGACGCAGAGCGGCAGGCUGAUCAACAUCAUGAUGACCAAGGUGAACCACACCGGCAAAGUGUACCACAUGAGGGCGAAGCGGCAGAUGGCUCAGAGCCUGGGGCAGAUCGCCAAGUUCAAACGCCGAUACGAGCAGGAAGCGCCGGAGGAGAACCAAGACAAGUAGGGCAGUGCUGUUUGCAAAGGAGAUAUGCAUUCUCCUUAGCCUUAAGCUGCAUCAUCAGAUUUUAGUUAAUGAACUUUGUUCAUGGAAUUUUGUUUCCAUUCUCAGGGAUAAUGCUGUUUAAACCUCUGCAAGUUCGUGUCACUUGCAUGUUGGGAUUCUCAGAGCCAUAAAACAAAAGGAAAUUUUGAAGCCAAUUAAUUUCUGUUUCGCAUCAGUUAAUGGUUGGGCAUGACAACGUGUCUUUGAUUUAGUUCUGUUUCUACUGUAUUUCUAGUUUGUUUCAGAACAUGUCUUUGAGAGGUCGACUGGUAUUGGUAUUGUUGCUUGAAAUCCUUGCUGUACUUGAGAGAUCGAUGUGAACAAAGCUCAGCGGUUCUUGUGCUGCUUA
Molecule: ribosomal RNA, 815 nt
Filed under: Triticum aestivum (bread wheat)
Lineage: Eukaryota; Viridiplantae; Streptophyta; Magnoliopsida; Poales; Poaceae
Description: partial small subunit ribosomal RNA
Source: RNAcentral